Molecule: long non-coding RNA, 3629 nt
Organism: Gavialis gangeticus (Gharial)
Lineage: Eukaryota; Metazoa; Chordata; Crocodylia; Gavialidae
Exons: 2
Source: RefSeq, a predicted model, not a curated record
CCAUGUGUAGCCAGUCUAAAUUAAAUUGCACAAUUAACCAGUUAAUUGCAUAAUACAUGUAAUAUAUAGAGGGGGCCUCUGUUUGUUAAAACCCCAAACAUACAUGCAGGCAGCCUGCUAAAGGAGCAUUUUCCUGUGGUCAGCAUUUUUGCUUCCUAAUUGGGUUAAGUGGUAAGAUGAUGAUCUGGACUAAGGAACCUUCAUUUUAGCAUUUCCUGAUGUAGUCCUGUGCUUGCAAAGCAAAUAAAGAAUUUUUAUUUUUACUUCAAGUAGAAGUAUAGUGUAUUGGUAAGGAUGCUGUGUUCAUGUUCCUUAACAUUUUAAUCAUUAUAAUUCACAUUACACUAUAUUUUUUUUCUUUAAACAGCACAAAACUACCAAAGCUUGUGCAGGGAAGGGGUGGAGGGUGGGGAAUGGUAGAUGCACAUUGAAAAUGAUAUGUCAAAAUGUAUGUUCAGAAUGGGAUGACCUGUUUAAUUUAUUGAUACCUAGAGCAUAUAUCUUUGGAUUGCUGCAGCAAACAUAAAGAAAACCAAUCCAGCAUGGGGCAAAAUGGAACUGUGGGUGUGUUCUAAGACUUUGAGUAACCCCUUUCCCCUCAAGAGUUACACCAUAUCUGCUUCUUGGGUUAGUCUAACUAAAAUUGCAAAUCAAUGCAUUCUUUUUUUACUCUGAAAAUAUUUCUUCCACUGAAGGAGAAUUUCUUCUAUGCCCUUUCCAGGCAGUGUUUAUUACUAGUAACAGAAAAUGAGAAUUGCACACUAUUUUCUUUCUUUGAAGGAAAUGCUGGGCUUAUAGAAGCAGUAAUUAAGGGUAAUUUCAUAUCCCAUAAGUGGUUAUUAUGCUUCUAUGUGAGAAGGAAAUAAGAUGGCAAGGUGAGUAUUUGUGGUUUUACUGAUGAAGGAAUGGGAAUCAUUUGUUUUAUCUCAUAAGAAAUAUGAAAGCAUGGCAGUCAAACAAAGGCCAGAUCCAAAUAGGCUGGUUCCAGUUCAGUAGUACCUUGGUCUCAUUUUAGCAAGCCCUUUGAGGCAAAGAACAUCUUCUUGCUCUGUGCCUGUGUGGCACUUGGCAAGAGGCAGUCCUGAAACCUGACUUCCUAUGGCAUCAGGGACUGCUAGAGGUAAAUAAUAUAUUGUAAGAUAUCACUAAGUGUGAGUCUCAGCCUAACCACUAUUUUUGUGCUGCUCUUCCAUAGGAAUAAGUUUAGCAGUUGCACUUUAGCAAGGAAUAGCACAGUAACUUUAUUUAAGCAAACGCUUUUAUUUCCAUAUUUAAUGGAGGUGCCUUCAGCUUUUUUUUCCUCCUUUGUUCCUCUCAUAUUAGUCUUAAGUCAUAGUUUCAGUGGCUUAGCUCUAUCAAGUUAUUCUUACCUGGAAAGUGCAGAAGUAUUAUUUAGCAUUCUCAAGUUUAAAUGUGAAAAUAUUAAGUGCCAGGUUGCUGGAAAGAUUAAAAAGGGACUUCCAUGCUGUAAGUAAUGAAUGGACGUAUGUCCAUUCUCAAUAGCUGGCCCUGCCUCUGGCAAAUUAUUUAGAAAGAUGCAUAUUUAAAUGAGAUUUUGUUGCUUUACCAUCAAAUAAGCUCUAUAAGAAAGUUGUUAAAAUAUAUGUCCCUCUGCUCACUUUUCUUGGAGAUUCUUGUAAAUAAGUUAACAAGUGUGUUUUGCAAAGUGUCAACUGUAUCCUUUAAGAACAACGCUUAUUUUCUGCUUGCUAGAUCAGCAGUACAAUAUACGAUUUCCUCCUUUGGUUUCUUUGUGGGAUCCCAAUGCUCUGACUGUAUUAAACCCAUUUAACUUAUUCCAUGUAGAUAAUUAAGGGCAUUAUUUGCCUAUAUCUGUUCUAGAGGUACUUGCAUUUGUAAUACUUGCAUCUUGAAUAGCAGGCUGAGUUUGUGACUGCUUGGAUUGAGAAGGAAGAAUGUAUUUAAAAGACACUGAAGAAGAGGAAGCUUGUUCAUACCUGCUUGAAAAUGCUUUUGGACGCUUUUCUGAUCAGUGCUCUACACUGAAUGUUUGCACUUACUACCAAUGCUUAUUUUUGGUAACGGGAGGGGGAAGAGAGAAAAUAUUCUUUGUGUAUAGUUGAUGCGAAUAGCGAAAAGAGUUUGUUUUUGGAAACUGCUACUUUGUAAUAAAAAUAGUAUGCAAUAGUAAACAGCUUUAAAUUAUUUUAUAAAACCUCCAAUUUUGAAAUAAACUGACAGAUUUUCAGCAUAAAUCAGUUCUCUGUUUAUGUUCUCUGGUUGAGAAACUCCCUUACAACACUUACUUUUUCAGCUGUGAUCACCAAUUCUGUUUUCCAUAAUGUGGAUGUUUAUGCCCAGAGACCGCAUGUGCUUUUUUACAAAUACAUACAUCUUAAACAGCUUGACAAAUAGGACAUGUUCAUAUUUGCAUUUAGUUUGCAGAAAUCUGCAGAAUGAAGCCAAGUUAGUUCCUACUUCAAUCACUCUUUAAAAUUAAUUGAAUUGUGAGUGCACAGAAUUGGACAUACCUUAGGAGAGAGGCUUGUGUGAUGUUCUACAAGGAAAUUUUGCCAAAUCCUACAUUGUCUUUCUGAUGUGGAUAAAUGUCAACCUUAGCAUCUAACUCAUCAAACUCCUUUUCAUAAAUGACUUCAUACAAUUAAGAUGUGGGUUCCAUAGGUGAAUAGAUGUUACUUUGAUCCAUUUUCCUGUGCUCCACAGUCAGUUUUCUUGUAGAAUAUUCACAACAGAAAAGCAGUGGUAGCACAACCAAGGUGCAAAGCAGCUGAGAACCAAGGCCACAAUCACUGCCAGUUUAUAAAUUGGGAGAAGUAUAGACAUGUUGGAGCCAAGAUGGUUCUGAGUCCAUGGUAUUGUCACCCAGACCCUGUAAGUAGGUCAGGAGAUGAACCUUCUCUGAUUUCUGGACUAGGAGCGUGCACAGUAACACCUAGAAACCACUGGAAAAUGGUACCCAGUGCAAACCUCAGGGCCACGUGCAGAGCCCUGGCAUGCUGUGCGCACUACCCUAAUAUAAAGGAUUUUGAUUGACAGAAACAGGUAGCUGUGGAUGAGUGAGUGCGGGAGGGACAGAGUGCGUGGUCUGUCUGGGUGGUCUGUGAGAGGUGUGUGAGAUGUAAAGGUAGUGUUUGUGCGUGGAAGUAGUGGAGGUGGCUUUGUGGAUGAUUGGUGCAGUGUCGUGUCUGCUGAUUGUCUGGUGUUGUUACUUGGCCUGCGUUAUGUUCUGCGGGACCAGGCCGUUGAUCUAGACAUCUAGUGGAGGUCCACCCCAUUUGGAUCCAGCACACUUUCAUCUCCUACCCCUGGCGAUCGACAGCUGAGGGUUGCUUGAGUCAGCUCCCCAGACUUUCUCCCCUGGGUGUGCUGUACACAUAAAAUAGUGGCUCACAAUGCUCCUAUUGGUGUAACUAUCACCCCUCUUCUCCAGGCAUGAGGGAACAGGGAUCUGAUCCCUCUGGUACAGGUGAAAGGCACCUGUAUCACUCUGCCCACACACCUGUGUGUGUUUAUGAGGAUUGUUAAGGGUUAUAUAGAAAUAGUAGGAUAAAGUUUGUUUACCUGUGUUACCUUUCUCCUUCUUUUCCCUUGUCAUUGCUGUUAAUACUUACCUGAGUUUUAAUAAACCAUUUAUUCAUUUCAGUUCA